RNAcentral lists this ribosomal RNA (434 nucleotides) under uncultured Ruminococcus sp. RNAcentral's name for it is "partial 16S ribosomal RNA". It matches the Rfam family "Bacterial small subunit ribosomal RNA", at positions 341 to 792 of the family's 1533-position model. The record is from RNAcentral. Lineage: Bacteria; Bacillati; Bacillota; Clostridia; Eubacteriales; Oscillospiraceae.
ACGGGAGGCAGCAGUGGGGAAUAUUGCACAAUGGGCGCAAGCCUGAUGCAGCGAUGCCGCGUGAGGGAAGAAGGUUUUCGGAUUGUAAACCUCUGUCCUCAGGGACGAUAAUGACGGUACCUGAGGAGGAAGCUCCGGCUAACUACGUGCCAGCAGCCGCGGUAAUACGUAGGGAGCGAGCGUUGUCCGGAAUUACUGGGUGUAAAGGGUGCGUAGGCGGGACGGCAAGUCAGAUGUGAAAUGUAUGGGCUCAACCCAUAACCUGCAUUUGAAACUGUUGUUCUUGAGUGAGGUAGAGGUAAGCGGAAUUCCUAGUGUAGCGGUGAAAUGCGUAGAUAUUAGGAGGAACAUCGGUGGCGAAGGCGGCUUACUGGGCCUUUACUGACGCUGAGGCACGAAAGCGUGGGGAGCAAACAGGAUUAGAUACCCUGGUA